UACGUAGGGGGCGAGCGUUAUCCGGAGUUACUGGGCGUAAAGCGUCCGCAGGCGGUUCUCUAAGUUUGUUCUGACAGUGCUCGGCUUAACUGAGUAAGUGGAACGAAAACUGGGGAACUUGAGGGUCCGAGAGGAAGAUGGAAUUCCAGGUGAAGCGGUGAAAUGCGUAGAUAUCUGGAGGAACACCAAAGGCGAAGGCAGUCUUCUGGAGGAAACCUGACGCUGAGGGACGAAAGCUAGGGGAGCGAACGGG
RNAcentral lists this ribosomal RNA (253 nucleotides) under uncultured bacterium. RNAcentral's name for it is "partial 16S ribosomal RNA". It matches the Rfam family "Bacterial small subunit ribosomal RNA", at positions 524 to 776 of the family's 1533-position model. The record is from RNAcentral.